CGGAGUGUAGCUCAGUUUGGUAGAGCACUGCUUUUGGGAAGCAGGGGCCGUAGGUUCGAAUCCUAUCACUCCGA
Molecule: transfer RNA, 74 nt
Filed under: Candidatus Thorarchaeota archaeon SMTZ-45
Lineage: Archaea; Promethearchaeati; Candidatus Thorarchaeota
Also listed under: 1 other name
Description: tRNA-Pro
Rfam family: tRNA
About the family: Transfer RNA (tRNA) molecules are approximately 80 nucleotides in length.
Source: RNAcentral